RNAcentral lists this long non-coding RNA (922 nucleotides) under Mytilus galloprovincialis (Mediterranean mussel). Lineage: Eukaryota; Metazoa; Mollusca; Bivalvia; Mytilida; Mytilidae. The record is from RNAcentral.
UGCAUGGGUGUUUCCCCGUUGUGCUCCUAUUUCAUUUACUUGUCAUCUGGUUGACCUCUGUAUAUUAUUUUACGGAUGUAACAUUUCAAUCCGCAUGACAUUUGUUUCUCUGAUUUAUAGUUGUACAAUUAUUAACAUGAAUAUAAAAGUAAUUCAUAAGCUGAUAUUUGUGAUCAAAAUAUAUCAUUGGAAUUGUGUCAGCACCUAUAAGCACUGGUUCUUGUGUGGAAAGUACAAGUGCAUGGAGACUGACGGCUAUGUCUUUUGGUGUUUGUAGUAUUCUUUGCAAACAUAUAUUGGGUUUCGUACUUUGUACAGUAAUGGUCAAAUAUUGAGCACGAGCUGUGCCUUAGGCGUACCUCGCGACGGUACUGGCAAAAUCUGGUGCGAAUGAAUUACAUUUCUUUUUUCUUUUUUGUUUUAGCUUGUGCACUCGGCGCCCUAAAAUCCGUGCCUUAAAGUUAGAAAUAUAGGUUCUCACUGCGUUCUUAUAGUGAUCCGGUACGUAAAAGAUGGGUGUCAAGAUAUAUUCUAAAACUUACAGUAUAAUAAGAUUGCAAUAAUAUUACUCAUUUAGCAAAUAUAUAAGUGUUAUCUAACAGUUGUAUAAUAUUGUAUUUAUUUGCCUUUGUUGCAAUUUGCUUAUAUGGUUUACCACUGAAUCAAUUAGCUUAUAUCAUAGCAGCACUUUAAUUUGAUUAAUUUGCUAAUAUGGUUAACCCUUGCGUUCUUAACAUGAAGUGAUACAAGUUUAUAUAUAUUAACAUUAAUAUUAUAAACUGUAAUUGAUUUCAUAAAAGUGCAGGCAUUUUUUUUUAAAUCUGAUUUUUUUCUUCGAUUUUUUUUGUUGUUACGCAUGAAACCCUGGCAACUAAAGUUAAAAUGGUAAACGAAUUUUCUUUUAAAGACAAAUCAACAUCAC